AGAGUUUGAUCCUGGCUCAGAAUCAACGCUGGCGGCGUGCCUCAGACAUGCAAGUCGAACGAUUAAAGCUCUCUUCGGAGAGUGCAUAGAGUGGCGCACGGGUGAGUAACACGUAAGUAAUCUACCCUCGAGUGGGGAAUAACGUCCGGAAACGGACGCUAAUACCGCAUAAUGCAGCGGCACCGCAAGGUGACAGUUGUUAAAGGAGAAAUUCGCUUGAGGAGGAGCUUGCGGCAGAUUAGCUAGUUGGUAAGGUAAUGGCUUACCAAGGCUACGAUCUGUAACCGGUCUAAGAGGACGGUCGGUCACACUGACACUGAAUAACGGGUCAGACUCCUACGGGAGGCAGCAGUCGGGAAUUUUGGGCAAUGGGCGAAAGCCUGACCCAGCAACGCCGCGUGAAGGAUGAAGUAUUUCGGUAUGUAAACUUCGAAAGAAUAGGAAGAAUCAAUGACGGUACUAUUUAUAAGGUCCGGCUAACUACGUGCCAGCAGCCGCGGUAAUACGUAGGGACCAAGCGUUGUUCGGAUUUACUGGGCGUAAAGGGCGCGUAGGCGGCGCGGUAAGUCACUUGUGAAAUCUCUGAGCUUAACUCAGAACGGCCAAGUGAUACUGCAGUGCUAGAGUGUGGAAGGGGCAAUCGGAAUUCUUGGUGUAGCGGUGAAAUGCGUAGAUAUCAAGAGGAACACCUGAGGUGAAGACGGGUUGCUGGGCCAACACUGACGCUGAGGCGCGAAAGCCAGGGGAGCAAACGGGAUUAGAUACCCCGGUAGUCCUGGCCCUAAACGAUGAAUACUUGG
This 800-nucleotide ribosomal RNA is filed under the name uncultured bacterium. Its description in RNAcentral is "bacterial SSU rRNA". It matches the Rfam family "Bacterial small subunit ribosomal RNA", at positions 8 to 820 of the family's 1533-position model. The record is from RNAcentral.